Molecule: non-coding RNA, 955 nt
Organism: Heterocephalus glaber (naked mole-rat)
Lineage: Eukaryota; Metazoa; Chordata; Mammalia; Rodentia; Bathyergidae
Source: RefSeq, a predicted model, not a curated record
ACACAUGCCAUUAUCUAGAAGCCUUUAUUUCCUUUGUCCUCCUCUUUAUUCAACUAAUGCCUCAGAUUGCCUCCCUUGCCCUCAAAUUAGGGACCUGGUGCUCUGCUACCAUGGUAAUUACUCUGUGACUACACAAUGUGUCUCCACCACCAGAGGAUGUUCUGUGAAGCACCUACAGUAAGCCAGGCCAAGGGAUGUGGGAUAAAUGAUAUGCUUGAUACUGGCCCUGGCAUCAAGAAACUUGUCCUAUAACACAGAAGAAGGAAAACAAGUAAAUCAAGUAUUUCAGAGGCUAUGACCACAGUAUGCACCAGUGUACAAGGCACAGCUCCAUGAUCUUCUUUUUCCCGUGUCCUGAUUUCUCAGAUUGCGAAAGCUAACAUUUACGGAGGGUAUACUACAUGUUUGACACAUUUCUAAGAGCUUUACAUGGAUUUAAUUCUCACAACUCUAAGAGGCUCAGCUAACUUGUUCGGUGCAAAAUAAGCAUGGUGGUCCGUUUUUCUUUUCUGGUGAUUGUUUUGGACUAAGGAGACAGGAUGAGAAGUCUGCUUGAGAACAUCUGGGAAAAGGAUCACCAUAAAAAAAAUACCACCAUAGUUCUUAAAGAGACUCAAAGAAGAAACAACACCUCUUCUGCCUCUGAUCAAGAACCAAUGUGCAAGGACACGCUGUAACAGUCUAUGACCCUGAGAGGAGCUGGUCCACACAAUGAGGCUCGAUCAGCAAGAACAUGGAAAUAACCUGAGUCCUUCAGGAGCCAAGAAAUUAACCAACUCUCAGAACUGAUUUUGUGUAAUCACACAAUAGAUUUCCUUAUUGUUUAAUCCAUUUAGAAUUGAAUUUUCUGUUUUGUACAGCUAAAAGCAUCCUAAAUGUUACCACCUUGGAGAAGCAAAACAAGGUUCUGCCUCUCUGGCAACAUCCUAGCAACAAAAGAAUAAUCCCCCAUCCC